GUGUACUAGCUAAAGCAUUACGUAUGUCUGGUGGGGAUCAUAUUCACGCUGGUACAGUAGUAGGUAAACUGGAAGGUGAACGUGAGAUGACUUUAGGUUUUGUUGAUUUAUUACGUGAUGAUUAUAUUGAAAAAGACCGAAGUCGUGGUAUUUUCUUCACUCAAGAUUGGGUCUCUAUGCCAGGUGUUAUACCUGUGGCUUCAGGGGGUAUUCAUGUUUGGCAUAUGCCUGCCCUGACCGAGAUCUUUGGAGAUGAUUCCGUACUACAGUUUGGUGGCGGAACUUUAGGACACCCUUGGGGAAAUGCACCUGGUGCAGUAGCUAACCGUGUAGCUUUAGAAGCGUGUGUACAAGCUCGUAAUGAGGGACGUGAUCUUGCUCGUGAAGGUAAUGAAAUUAUCCGUGAAGCUUGCAAAUGGAGUCCUGAACUAGCCGCUGCUUGUGAAGUUUGGAAAGCGAUCAAAUUUGAGUUCGAACCAGUAGAUAAGCUAGAUGUUAAAGGCUAAGCUUACAUAAUUCAGUAAUUCCUGUUUGUUCUCCUAAUUGCAAUUAAACUCGGCCCAAUCUUUUACUAAAAAGGAUUGAGCCGAAAAAAAUGAGGAUCCUUAUGUAUUUUGUAUUUGCAUAUAUCUUUUUUGUGCAUAUAUCUUUCUUUUAUGUAUUAAUAUAUACAGAAUGUACAGGGACAAGGACCUUACUUACAAUCCAUAUAUACACGAUAUAAAUACAAGAUAAGAUCUAAGUUAAGGUUAAACAACAAAAUACUUCUUUUUGUUAUGUUGGAUACAUAAUAAAUCCUAUGGAUCCUUGGGAUUGGUGGAUUAGUUAAUAUACCAGAGUUGCAGACCAUAGCUCAAGCUAGGGCAGGGUGCCUUCUACUGAUCCUGUAUAUUGUCUUUUUCGUUCCGUGUUCCCAUGGAAUGGUACACGAGAAUGAAUUCAGGAAAUGAGUAUUUAUACUUUUAAUGAGAAUUUGUACACAAUAUGAGAAGAAACCCUUCUUUUUUGCUAUUAUAAUUGAGGAAAAGAUUCCAUUAUUUAAAUCAUAAACCUAAAUCAUAUAAAUCAUAAUCUAUAUUGAUAUUGAAAUUAUACCCCGGAUUCCACAACACAAAAGAAAAUUAGUUCUUUCAAUUAAAUACUUAUUCAUAUUAGUUAACGGUCCAAACAAAACGGCUGAAUCCAUAUGCUUAAUUCCGAUACGAAAUCCGAAAUCCAAUAGUAAAAUAAUUAUUUAUCGAAUGACUAUUCAUCUAUUAUAUUUUCAAAUAAGGGGCGGGAAGACUCUAUGGAAAAAUGGUGGUUCAAUUCGAUGUUCUCUAAUGAGAAGUUAGAACACAAGUAUAGGUUAAGUAGAUCGAUGGAUAGUCUUGGUCCUAUUAGAUAUACCAGUGGAAGUGAAGACCCGGUUUUAAAUGCUAUGGAUAAGAACGUUUCCAGUUGGAAUGAAAGUGGGAGUUGUAAUUUCAGUAAUGUUGAGCAUUUUUUUGAUAUCAUAGACAUUUGGAGUUUCAUUUCUGACGACACUUUUUUAGUUAGGGAUAGUAAUGGGGACAAUUUUUCUAUAUAUUUUGAUAUUGAAAAUCAGAUUUUUGAGAUUGACAAUAAUAGUACUUUUAUGAAUGAACUAGAAAGUUCUUUUUCUAGUUACCAGAAUUCUAGUUAUAUGAAUAGUGGAUCUAAAAGUAGUAGUCGCUACUAUUAUCCUUACAUGUAUGAUACUCAAUCUAGUUGGAAUAAUCAUAUAAAUAGUUGCAUUGAUAGUUAUCUGCGUUUUGAAAUCAGUAUUGAUAGUUACAUUUCAGGUGAGACCCAUAAUUAUAGUGAUAAUUAUGUUUAUAAUUUCAUUUGUAAUGAAAGUAUAAGUGGUAGUGAAAGUAGUAAUUCUGGUAUCAGAACUAGUGUUAAUGGCAGUGAUUUCAAUAUAAGAGGAAGAUCUAAUGAUUUAGAUAUAAAUAAAAAAUACAGACAUUUAUGGGUUCAGUGCGAAAAUUGUUAUGGAUUAAAUUAUAAAAAAUUUUUUAGGUCAAGACUGAAUAUUUGUGAACACUGUGGAUAUCAUUUGAAAAUGAGUAGUUCAGAGAGAAUCGAACUUUUAAUUGAUCCGGGCACCUGGGAUCCUCUGGAUGAGAAUAUGGUCUCGACAGACCCCAUUN
RNAcentral lists this long non-coding RNA (2156 nucleotides) under Spirodela polyrhiza (greater duckweed). RNAcentral's name for it is "long non-coding RNA (SPOL_LNC000232)". Lineage: Eukaryota; Viridiplantae; Streptophyta; Magnoliopsida; Alismatales; Araceae. The record is from RNAcentral.